GCUCCAGUGGUGCAAUUGGUCAGUGUGCUGUACUUGUAAGACAGUACACUAUAGAGCAAUACUGAGGUUGUGAGUUCAAGCCUCACCUGGAGCA
RNAcentral lists this transfer RNA (94 nucleotides) under Perca flavescens (yellow perch). It matches the Rfam family "tRNA". Rfam says of the family: Transfer RNA (tRNA) molecules are approximately 80 nucleotides in length. Their secondary structure includes four short double-helical elements and three loops (D, anti-codon, and T loops). The record is from Rfam by way of RNAcentral. Lineage: Eukaryota; Metazoa; Chordata; Actinopteri; Perciformes; Percidae.